CGGGACGGGUGAGUAAUGUCUGGGAAACUGCCUGAUGGAGGGGGAUAACUGCUGGAAACGGUAGCUAAUACCGCAUAACGUCGCAAGACCAAAGAGGGGGACCUUCGGGCCUCUUGCCAUCGGAUGUGCCCAGAUGGGAUUAGCUAGUAGGUGGGGUAACGGCUCACCUAGGCGACGAUCCCUAGCUGGUCUGAGAGGAUGACCAACCACACUGGAACUGAGACACGGUCCAG
Molecule: ribosomal RNA, 233 nt
Filed under: uncultured bacterium
Lineage: Bacteria
Description: partial 16S ribosomal RNA
Rfam family: Bacterial small subunit ribosomal RNA
Source: RNAcentral